GGGACAGCUCGCUGGGGAUGAGCCAAGCCGCGGCAGCUGAGCCGGGGAAGCUGCGCUGUUUACUUGGCACCUUCCCCGAGCACACCACAAGGGCUUCGUUAGAAAAAGAGGGGAAUGGGAUGGAUUAUGGAAUGCUGUUUCUCCACCAGGAUGGAAAGAGCCAUGGGAGAAAGGCAGAAGGGCACCCCCAGAGCAGCCUGGAAGCUGCACCCCCUCUUCCUGCCUUCAAAGCCUGCAGGUUGUAGGUGUCAAUCUGGGAUCAAAGCCGGCAAGUUGAGCAAUGGGAAACCUACAAAUGGAAAUGUUACCCUGCAAAACCACAAUGGACAAGCCCCUGAGUGUCUGAGAACAGCCACAGCUUGUCACACAGAGAUGUGUCUACGAUGGGACAUGGAUUGCACAAGAAGGUCUGAGAGCUGGGGAAGGUUGAGUCUAGAAAAAAAGGAGAGACGAAAAUCCUGAACAACAACGCUGCUUGGAAAAAGCAGUCAGAAGUUUGAAGCACAUCCAGACCACUGCUCUGGAAAUCAGGCUGAAAAGUCUUGUGACAUCAGGCUCUCUCAGGAGGUUGCUGCUAUUUCCCAGCUGUAAAGGCCUGGGAAUGUUGCUAGCAGCCCAUGUUUGACUUUGGAA
This 633-nucleotide long non-coding RNA is filed under the name Chloebia gouldiae (Gouldian finch). RNAcentral's name for it is "Erythrura gouldiae (Gouldian finch) lncRNA (ENSEGOG00005008785.1)". Lineage: Eukaryota; Metazoa; Chordata; Aves; Passeriformes; Passeridae. The record is from RNAcentral.